GAUCCUGGCUCAGGAUGAACGCUAGCUACAGGCUUAACACAUGCAAGUCGAGGGGAAACGAUAUUGGAAGCUUGCUUCCGAUAGGCGUCGACUGGCGCACGGGUGAGUAACGCGUAUCCAACCUGCCCACCACUUGGGGGAUAACCUUGCGAAAGUAAGACUAAUACCCAAUGAUAUCUCUAGAAGACAUCUGAAAGAGAUUAAAGAUUCAUCGGUGAUGGAUGGGGAUGCGU
RNAcentral lists this ribosomal RNA (233 nucleotides) under uncultured bacterium. RNAcentral describes it as "partial 16S ribosomal RNA". It matches the Rfam family "Bacterial small subunit ribosomal RNA", at positions 15 to 236 of the family's 1533-position model. The record is from RNAcentral.